CACGUAGUUAGCCGGAGCUUUCUAAUAAAGUACCGUCACUCCUAAGUCAUUUCCUACUUAGGUCGUUCUUCCUUUACAACAGAAGUUUACAAUCCAUAGGACCUUCUUCCUUCACGCGGCAUUGCUCGUUCAGGGUUUCCCCCAUUGACGAAUAUUCCUAACUGCUGUCUCCCGUAGGGGUCUGGGCCGUGUCUCAGUCCCAGUGUGGCCGAUCACCCUCUCAGGUCGGCUACGCAUCGUUGACUUGGUAGGCCUUUACCCCACCAACUAUCUAAUACGCCGCAGGCCCAUCUUAAAGUGAAGCUUGAUUGCUCCUUUUAAAUAUGAAAAACGUAUCUUUCAUAUUCUCAUCCGGUAUUAGCAGUCGUUUCCAACUGUUAUCCCAGUCUCUAAGGCAGGUUACCCACGUGUUACUCACCCUUGCGCCACUAGAUGGAUAUUCCUCUUCCGCUUCCGUGCAAGCACUUCCACUUCAUCGGGCAUCUCGUUCGACUUGCAUGUCUUAGGCAUGCCGCC
This 516-nucleotide ribosomal RNA is filed under the name uncultured Bacillota bacterium. Its description in RNAcentral is "uncultured Firmicutes bacterium partial 16S ribosomal RNA". Lineage: Bacteria; Bacillati; Bacillota. The record is from RNAcentral.